UACGUAGGGGGCUAGCGUUGUCCGGAUUUAUUGGGCGUAAAGAGCGUGUAGGCGGCCUGGUAGGUCUGCUGUGAAAACUCGAGGCUCAACCUCGAGAUGUCGGUGGAAACCAUCUGGCUAGAGUCCGGAAGAGGAGAGUGGAAUUCCUGGUGUAGCGGUGAAAUGCGCAGAUAUCAGGAAGAACACCUAUGGCGAAGGCAGCUCUCUGGGACGGUACUGACGCUGAGACGCGAAAGCGUGGGGAGCGAACAGG
Molecule: ribosomal RNA, 253 nt
Filed under: uncultured bacterium
Lineage: Bacteria
Description: partial 16S ribosomal RNA
Rfam family: Bacterial small subunit ribosomal RNA
Source: RNAcentral